GAUGAACGCUGGCGGCGUGCCUAAUACAUGCAAGUCGAGCGAACAGACGAGGAGCUUGCUCCUCUGACGUUAGCGGCGGACGGGUGAGUAACACGUGGAUAACCUACCUAUAAGACUGGGAUAACUUCGGGAAACCGGAGCUAAUACCGGAUAAUAUAUUGAACCGCAUGGUUCAAUAGUGAAAGACGGUUUUGCUGUCACUUAUAGAUGGAUCCGCGCCGCAUUAGCUAGUUGGUAAGGUAACGGCUUACCAAGGCAACGAUGCGUAGCCGACCUGAGAGGGUGAUCGGCCACACUGGAACUGAGACACGGUCCAGACUCCUACGGGAGGCAGCAGUAGGGAAUCUUCGGCAAUGGGCGAAAGCCUGACCGAGCAACGCCGCGUGAGUGAGGAAGGCCUUCGGGUUGUAAAACUCUGUUGUGUGGGAAGAAGGGAAAGGGUAGGACCCUUAGGUGACGGUACCAAACGAGAAAGCCCCGGCUAACUACGUG
Molecule: ribosomal RNA, 492 nt
Filed under: uncultured bacterium
Lineage: Bacteria
Description: partial 16S ribosomal RNA
Rfam family: Bacterial small subunit ribosomal RNA
Source: RNAcentral